This 107-nucleotide small nuclear RNA is filed under the name Myotis brandtii (Brandt's bat). The record is from RNAcentral. Lineage: Eukaryota; Metazoa; Chordata; Mammalia; Chiroptera; Vespertilionidae.
GUGCUCGCUUCGGCAGCACAUGUACUAAAACUGGAACGAGACAGAGAAGAUUAGCAUGGCCCCUGCACAAGGAUGACAUGCAAAUUCCGGAAGCGUUCAUAUAAAAA